CAGUCGCCGCGGGAAUACGAAGGGGGCUAGCGUUGUUCGGAUUUACUGGGCGUAAAGGGCGCGUAGGCGGACUGAUAAGUCAGGGGUGAAAUCCCAAGGCUCAACCUUGGAACUGCCUUUGACACUGUUUGUCUUGAGUUCGAGAGAGGUAAGUGGAACUGCGAGUGUAGAGGUGAAAUUCGUAGAUAUUCGCAAGAACACCAGUGGCGAAGGCGGCUUACUGGCUCGAAACUGACGCUGAGGCGCGAAAGCGUGGGGAGCAAACAGGAUUAGAUACCCCUGUAGUCCCUGUCUCUUAUAC
RNAcentral lists this ribosomal RNA (301 nucleotides) under uncultured bacterium. RNAcentral's name for it is "partial 16S ribosomal RNA". It matches the Rfam family "Bacterial small subunit ribosomal RNA", at positions 509 to 807 of the family's 1533-position model. The record is from RNAcentral.